Molecule: ribosomal RNA, 352 nt
Filed under: Bacillus altitudinis
Lineage: Bacteria; Bacillati; Bacillota; Bacilli; Caryophanales; Bacillaceae
Description: bacterial SSU rRNA
Rfam family: Bacterial small subunit ribosomal RNA
Source: RNAcentral
GACGGUACCUAACCAGAAAGCCACGGCUAACUACGUGCCAGCAGCCGCGGUAAUACGUAGGUGGCAAGCGUUGUCCGGAAUUAUUGGGCGUAAAGGGCUCGCAGGCGGUUUCUUAAGUCUGAUGUGAAAGCCCCCGGCUCAACCGGGGAGGGUCAUUGGAAACUGGGAAACUUGAGUGCAGAAGAGGAGAGUGGAAUUCCACGUGUAGCGGUGAAAUGCGUAGAGAUGUGGAGGAACACCAGUGGCGAAGGCGACUCUCUGGUCUGUAACUGACGCUGAGGAGCGAAAGCGUGGGGAGCGAACAGGAUUAGAUACCCUGGUAGUCCACGCCGUAAACGAUGAGUGCUAAGUG